AUUCAUCUGAUGAAUCCCAAAUAGGACUAAAUGCGCGUCUUGGAC
Molecule: non-coding RNA, 45 nt
Organism: Schistosoma rodhaini
Lineage: Eukaryota; Metazoa; Platyhelminthes; Trematoda; Strigeidida; Schistosomatidae
Source: Rfam